AGAGUUUGAUCAUGGCUCAGAUUGAACGCUGGCGGCAGGCCUAACACAUGCAAGUCGAGCGGUAGAGAGAAGCUUGCUUCUCUUGAGAGCGGCGGACGGGUGAGUAAUGCCUAGGAAUCUGCCUGGUAGUGGGGGAUAACGUUCGGAAACGGACGCUAAUACCGCAUACGUCCUACGGGAGAAAGCAGGGGACCUUCGGGCCUUGCGCUAUCAGAUGAGCCUAGGUCGGAUUAGCUAGUUGGUGAGGUAAUGGCUCACCAAGGCGACGAUCCGUAACUGGUCUGAGAGGAUGAUCAGUCACACUGGAACUGAGACACGGUCCAGACUCCUACGGGAGGCAGCAGUGGGGAAUAUUGGACAAUGGGCGAAAGCCUGAUCCAGCCAUGCCGCGUGUGUGAAGAAGGUCUUCGGAUUGUAAAGCACUUUAAGUUGGGAGGAAGGGCAGUUACCUAAUACGUGAUUGUUUUGACGUUACCGACAGAAUAAGCACCGGCUAACUCUGUGCCAGCAGCCGCGGUAAUACAGAGGGUGCAAGCGUUAAUCGGAAUUACUGGGCGUAAAGCGCGCGUAGGUGGUUAGUUAAGUUGGAUGUGAAAUCCCCGGGCUCAACCUGGGAACUGCAUUCAAAACUGACUGACUAGAGUAUGGUAGAGGGUGGUGGAAUUUCCUGUGUAGCGGUGAAAUGCGUAGAUAUAGGAAGGAACACCAGUGGCGAAGGCGACCACCUGGACUGAUACUGACACUGAGGUGCGAAAGCGUGGGGAGCAAACAGGAUUAGAUACCCUGNUAGUCCACGCCGUAAACGAUGUCAACUAGCCGUUGGGAGCCUUGAGCUCUUAGUGGCGCAGCUAACGCAUUAAGUUGACCGCCUGGGGAGUACGGCCGCAAGGUUAAACUCANUGAAUUGACGGGGGCCCGCACAAGCGGUGGAGCAUGUGGUUUAAUUCGAAGCACGC
This 956-nucleotide ribosomal RNA is filed under the name uncultured bacterium. RNAcentral's name for it is "bacterial SSU rRNA". It matches the Rfam family "Bacterial small subunit ribosomal RNA", at positions 8 to 962 of the family's 1533-position model. The record is from RNAcentral.